CGCCGCAGAGAACGCGAUGCAGCAGUUGCGCUAACACCUUUGUGGUGAUAGGAGCACGCAUCACUUACAUUGUGGUUUAUCCGAGGCACGUGAAGCAACUUGAAAUGCUUCAAGAAACGCCUGUGCAACGUUGUGCAAGGGUUCUGUGCUGGCCAUUGACAACGCUCCGCCUCGAUGCCGAAAGCCGCAUCCCUCAUUUUUCAACGACGCUGAAAAAGCAUUCAUGCAGAAAGUGGACAAGCCACAGCGAGAAGGAAGAACACGGCGGCAUGAUCAUGGAGACGUUUUGUUGAAGCUACAACAACAACGACGACACGGUGCUGCUGGACCACCGCCCCCAUCGCCCGUCGGCCCAUAAAGCGACCCUAAUGAGGCAUCUCGACUCGGACCGGGACGUUGAGCUACGUUGAAAAACAUCCAUAGUGUUUCGUACUCAAAGGAGCUGUGUUACUACCGACGACGACUACAAGCACCGACCCGUGUCACCUCUCUGACUAGAGGAUGCCAUCCCUUCCCCAACAGGAUCUCCUUCGGCGGCGGGGCAGUCUCUUACGGUUCACUUUGUGCGGCAAUCGAUGGAUUCCAAGAGCGUGGGACACAGCAUGCCUAUUGGCCACGCUAGUCAACAUGAAAAGACUUGUCCAACGGGUGUUUGUUCGACGGGAUUACGCGCAGAAUGUGCAAAUCUUACUUCCCUUGGGCAUACGUUCAACCGCUCUACACAAGGAGUGGUUUCCCUCCCAUGAGCCUCUGUGUGGGUUGAUCCGACGUGGCAUAUGUUCGCCCCCUCUACGCCAAGAAGUGGUUUCCCUCCCGUGUCUCUCUGUGUAGGUUGACUCGACGUGUCCUGACAAGGCUCUCUAACAGGGAGCAGCACAGAAUGAGACUGCCAGGAUGAUGGAGGUUAUAAGAACGCCAGCGAACCGCCACGUGUUGUCACAUCUGCUCUGCCCUUGCGCGUGCAGGUGCACGCACGCUGAACGUUUCUGUAUUUUUUGUUUGGAGCGUACCGCUUACCCGGAAUGAUGUAAUACACUUCUGUUCUUUCUUCGUA
Dermacentor albipictus is the source of this 1054-nucleotide non-coding RNA. Lineage: Eukaryota; Metazoa; Arthropoda; Arachnida; Ixodida; Ixodidae. The record is from RefSeq and is a predicted model, not a curated record.